ACGGGUGAGUAAUACAUCGGAACGUAUCCUGGAGUGGGGGAUAGCCCGGCGAAAGCCGGAUUAAUACCGCAUACGCUCUGAGGAGGAAAGCGGGGGACCUUCGGGCCUCGCGCUCAAGGGGCGGCCGAUGGCGGAUUAGGUAGUUGGUGGGGUAAAGGCCUACCAAGCCGACGAUCCGUAGCUGGUCUGAGAGGACGACCAGCCACACUGGGACUGAGACACGGCCCAGACUCCUACGGGAGGCAGCUGUGGGGAAUUUUGGACAAUGGGGGCAACCCUGAUCCAGCAAUGCCGCGUGUGUGAAGAAGGCCUUCGGGUUGUAAAGCACUUUUGUCCGGAAAGAAAUCAUCGGGGCCAAUACCCCUGGUGGAUGACGGUACCGGAAGAAUAAGCACCGGCUAACUACGUGCCAGCAGCCGCGGUAAUACGUAGGGUGCGAGCGUUAAUCGGAAUUACUGGGCGUAAAGCGUGCGCAGGCGGUGCUGUAAGACCGAUGUGAAAUCCCCGGGCUUAACCUGGGAACUGCAUUGGUGACUGCAGCGCUGGAGUAUGGCAGAGGGGGGUGGAAUUCCACGU
RNAcentral lists this ribosomal RNA (576 nucleotides) under uncultured bacterium. Its description in RNAcentral is "bacterial SSU rRNA". It matches the Rfam family "Bacterial small subunit ribosomal RNA", at positions 102 to 674 of the family's 1533-position model. The record is from RNAcentral.